This is a non-coding RNA of Electrophorus electricus (electric eel), 373 nucleotides long. NCBI's taxonomy places the organism in Eukaryota, Metazoa, Chordata, Actinopteri, Gymnotiformes, Gymnotidae. The record is from RefSeq and is a predicted model, not a curated record.
CUGUAUUUCAGUAGUCUUCUAGUUCAACGGUAUCUUCAACGGAUUCUCAACCUCUGGAACUGCGCAACUAAAUCUGUUCCAAAAGAGCGAGACCCCUGCUGAGAAGUGUCUUCCCUGGGUAUACUUGCUCACAUCUGGAAGUUCUGAAUCAUCUGCUCUGGCAGCCACGAUGACACAGGCUCUGUCCAGCCGAAUUCAGGCGAAGGGUCAAGCGUAGAUGACGACUUCUCUGGACAUUUCUUUCUAACAAUCCUACAGUAAACGUGACUUUAUUUUCCUUUUUUUAUUUACAAACUAUCAACAAACGAAAGAAAAACAAAUCUCAUGGCAGCAUGACACCACCAAGAAAUGACUGUCGCUGUGGGACGUGUUA